AACAGGCCUGCCCUUAAUAGGCCACAGCUGUGUCCAAUAAGAAGAGGAGUGCUACAGAAGAGUGGGUUAGCUGGGUGAGGGGAGAGUUGGAGUAUGUUGGCUGUGCUGUGCAGAGAGUUGGAGUAUGUUGGCUGUGCUGUGAGGAAGAAGGAGUUAGUGCUUUGAAGAGUUGCCCAUGAGAAAUCACUAAGAAGAUCACACCAUCCAGUCUGUUUUCUGCUGCUGCUGCUGCUCAGUGCAAGAAAGAGAAAUGAGAACAAAAGUGAACCUGGAGCCUGACACUGUCCUGGUGACCCAGUACUCUGCCUCACAACCAGAUGUUUCCUAUGAAUCUAUUUGGAAGUGUGGGCACAAGAGACAAUUGCAAUUUAAGGACAAGCCAUUACCUC
This 389-nucleotide long non-coding RNA is filed under the name Camarhynchus parvulus. RNAcentral's name for it is "lncRNA (ENSCPVG00000002193.2)". The record is from RNAcentral. Lineage: Eukaryota; Metazoa; Chordata; Aves; Passeriformes; Thraupidae.